GAUAAAGGCGAGAUAACUCCGAAGGGUUCCAAGCGACGGCGGUGUUUGGGACCUGGAAGUCGGCUCAUCACAUCCUGGGGCUGAAGUAGGUCCCAAGGGUAUGGCUGUUCGCCAUUUAAAGUGGUACGCGAGCUGGGUUGAGAACGUCGUGAGACAGUUCGGUCCCUAUCUGCCGUGGGCGCUGGAGAACUGAGGGGGGCUGCUCCUAGUACGAGAGGACCGGAGUGGACGCAUCACUGGUGUUCGGGUUGUCAUGCCAAUGGCACUGCCCGGUAGCUAAAUGCGGAAGAGAUAAGUGCUGAAAGCAACUAAGCACGAAACKUGCACCGRRAUGAGUUCKCCCUGAGACUUAGAGUCUCCUGAAGGAACGUUGAAGACGACGACGUUGAUAGGCCGGGUGUGUAAGCGCAGCGAUGCGUUGAGCUAACCGGUACUAAUGAACCGUGAGGCUUAACCUUACAACGCCGAAGCUGUU
This 475-nucleotide ribosomal RNA is filed under the name Escherichia coli. RNAcentral describes it as "bacterial LSU rRNA". It matches the Rfam family "Bacterial large subunit ribosomal RNA", at positions 2473 to 2925 of the family's 2925-position model. The record is from RNAcentral. Lineage: Bacteria; Pseudomonadati; Pseudomonadota; Gammaproteobacteria; Enterobacterales; Enterobacteriaceae.